Molecule: long non-coding RNA, 407 nt
Filed under: Gallus gallus (chicken)
Lineage: Eukaryota; Metazoa; Chordata; Aves; Galliformes; Phasianidae
Source: RNAcentral
GGAUGGAGGGGGGAGGAGGAGCAAGGGAUGCUGGGUUCUGGUUAUAAAAAGGUCCUCCGUUUAUCUGGUUCUGAAGGCUCGUCUGUGACGUGAUUGAAGGAGGACGCCGAUAUGGCAAAGAUCCCCCUAUUGUUGGUGGUGUAUGUCGAGACGCAGGCCUGUUCAUGCUGUAGAACUGGACUGGGUGGCCUGGAUAGACACUGGGAGGAGAUGGUGUGGGAACAGCAAUAGGAACACCCACACUGCCACUUCCACUGUUCUCGCGACUACUGCUCCGACUACUUGGAUGGCUUCCUCCACUGCUCCCACUGCUGCUGUAUGUGCGAUUCCUCUGAUUGACAGAAGCUGUUCUAACAGGACUCUGCUGUGAGGGAGCCAUAUUGCGCGUUGGGCUAGGCACGUAGUCA